RNAcentral lists this ribosomal RNA (314 nucleotides) under uncultured bacterium. Its description in RNAcentral is "bacterial SSU rRNA". It matches the Rfam family "Bacterial small subunit ribosomal RNA", at positions 28 to 334 of the family's 1533-position model. The record is from RNAcentral.
GAUGAACGCUAGCUACAGGCUUAACACAUGCAAGUCGAGGGGCAUCAGGAAGAAAGCUUGCUUUCUUUGCUGGCGACCGGCGCACGGGUGAGUAACACGUAUCCAACCUGCCCUUUACUCGGAGAUAGCCUUUCGAAAGAAAGAUUAAUACCCGAUGGCAUAAUGAUUCCGCAUGGUCUUAUUAUUAAAGAAUUUCGGUUAUCGAUGGGGAUGCGUUCCAUUAGGCAGUUGGUGAGGUAACGGCUCACCAAACCUUCGAUGGAUAGGGGUUCUGAGAGGAAGGUCCCCCACAUUGGAACUGAGACACGGUCCAA